This 478-nucleotide ribosomal RNA is filed under the name uncultured bacterium. RNAcentral's name for it is "partial 16S ribosomal RNA". It matches the Rfam family "Bacterial small subunit ribosomal RNA", at positions 28 to 523 of the family's 1533-position model. The record is from RNAcentral.
GACGAACACUGGCGGCGUGCUUAACACAUGCAAGUCGAACGGUAAGGCCCUUGGGGGUACACGAGUGGCGAACGGGUGAGUAACACGUGGGUGAUCUGCCCUGCACUUCGGGAUAAGCCUGGGAAACUGGGUCUAAUACCGGAUAGGACCCUGGGAUGCAUGUCCUGGGGUGGAAAGCUUUUGCGGUGUGGGAUGGGCCCGCGGCCUAUCAGCUUGUUGGUGGGGUGAUGGCCUACCAAGGCGACGCCGGGUAGCCGGCCUGAGGGGGGGACCGGCCACACUGGGAUUGGGCUACGGCCCAGGCUCGUACGGGAGGCAGCAGUGGGGAAUAUUGCACAAUGGGCGCAAGCCUGAUGCAGCUACGCCGCGUGAGGGAUGACGGCCUUCGUGUUGUAAACCUCUUUCAGCACCGACGAGGCGCAAGUGACGGUAGGUGCAGAAGAAGGACCGGCCAACUACGUGCCAGCAGCCGCCGUAA